Octopus sinensis (East Asian common octopus) is the source of this 156-nucleotide long non-coding RNA. RefSeq lists it as uncharacterized. Lineage: Eukaryota; Metazoa; Mollusca; Cephalopoda; Octopoda; Octopodidae. The record is from RefSeq and is a predicted model, not a curated record. The transcript is spliced from 3 exons.
UGUGUGUGUAUAUAGUAUUUAUGUUAACCUGUUGUGUGUCCGAAUUUGGCCAAAAUCGUUUUUUUUUCAAUAUUUAUUUUUGCAUCGAAUAGCAGGUUCUUUUGGUCAAACUAUCGUAUCUCCAGCUGCUUCUGAUGCCAAGAUAUCAAAAACUGU